Molecule: ribosomal RNA, 253 nt
Filed under: uncultured bacterium
Lineage: Bacteria
Description: partial small subunit ribosomal RNA
Rfam family: Bacterial small subunit ribosomal RNA
Source: RNAcentral
AGGACGAACGCUGGCGGCGUGCUUAACACAUGCAAGUCGAGCGAGGCCCUUCCUUCGGGAAGGUGCCCUAGCGGCGAACGGGUGAGUAACACGUGGGCAACCUGCCCCUAGCACUGGGAUAACUCCGGGAAACCGGGGCUAAUACCGGAUAUGACCUUUGACGGCAUCGUUGAAGGUGUAAAGGAUUCUGGCUAGGGAUGGGCCCGCGGCCUAUCAGCUUGUUGGUGGGGUAACGGCCUACCAAGGCGACGAC